Non-coding RNA from Xyrichtys novacula (pearly razorfish), 1799 nucleotides. The record is from the annotation of a GenBank genome assembly. NCBI's taxonomy places the organism in Eukaryota, Metazoa, Chordata, Actinopteri, Labriformes, Labridae.
GUUUACUUCACUUCCUUCUUUAUCUGAUUAUCUAUUGCUACAUUUUUUUACGCACUACAUAUUUUACAUCUGUUAUAAAGACAUUUCUACAAUACAGAAGUCAACAAAUGAGGCAUUCAAUAUUUUCAGCCAACAUGUCCACAUUACGGUUGAUGAAAAAGAAAUCACUUUUGCACCUGAAAUUCAUUUUUGAACAAUUUCAGCAGCAGCAUUGUUGAAUGUUUUGUCUGUAUUUCUGUCAGCAAGGGUCCCUAACUGAUAAUAACUUCAACUGUUCAGCAGUUUUGGUGUAAUUAAUAAGAUUUAUUCACCUCAGAUGAGUGUACUUCAAACCAGCUAAAAAUUCUAAUUGGGACUUUGCUGUCAAGUGAGGGCAAAACAUUGAAUUGUUUUUUAUUUAUUUAUUUAAUUUUUCUCUGUAGACUCCUUCAGUUUGCUGAAAAAUCCCAAUAAAAAUAAUAAAGACAUGUCAGUGCCCUCCAGUGGCAGCGAAGGUGGUGUUUUAACAGGUAAUGCAGUAAUAUGUUGAUCACAGAUGUACAGUUCAGCUAAAUUCUUAAAACAUAGACUUAUGCAUUACAUAGUGGUUUCAUCAUCACAGAUAUUAAUGUAUUGCAGAGAUAAACCAUCUACCUCACAGGUGUGGCAUAUCAAGAUGCUGAUUAGACAGCAUGAUUAUUGCACAGGUGUGCCUUAGACUGGCCACAAUAAAAGGUGCAGUUUUACUGUAUUGGGGGCGUCCAGGGGGGAUAAGAAAACCUGUCAGUAUCUGGUGUGACCACCAUUUGUCUCACACAGUGUAACACAUCUCCUUCUCAUAGAGUUGAUCAGGUUGUUGAUCGUGGCCUGUGGGGCGUUGGUCCACUCCUCUUCAAUGGCUGUGUGAUGUUGCUGGAUAUUGGCAGGACUGGAACAGGCUGUCGUAUACGCCAAUUCAGAGCAUCCCAAACAUGCUCAAUGGGUGACAUGUCUGGUGAGUAUGCUGGCCAUGCAAGAACUGGGAUGUAUUCAGCUUCAAAGAAUUGUGUACAGAUCUUCACAACAUGGGGCAGUGUAUUAUUAUGAUGGUCAGGGAUGAAUGGCACAACAAUGGGACCCAGGAUCUUGUCACGGUAUCUCUAUUCAUUCAAAAUGCCAUCAAUAAAAUGCAACUGUGUUCGUUGUCCAUAGCAUAUGCCUGCCCAUACAAUAACCCCACCGCCACCAUGGGCCACUCAAUUCACAACAUUGACAUCAGCAAAACUCUCACCCACAUGACACUAAACACGCUUUCUGCCAUCUGCCCUGUACAGUAAAAACCGAGAUUCAUCCGUGAAGAGAACACCUCUCCACAGUGCCAGACGCCAUUGAAUGUGAGCAUUUGCCCACUCAAGUCGAUUAUGACGAGCAUGCAGAAGAGCUUCCCUGAGACGGUUUCUGUCAGUUUGUACAGAAAUUGUUUGGUUAUGCCAACCAAUUGUUGCAGCAGCUGUCUGGGUGGCUGGUCUCAGACGAUCUUGGAGGUGAAAAUACUAGAUGUGGAGGUCCUGGGCUGGUGUGGUUACAUGUGGUCUGUGGUUGUGAGGCCGGUUGGAUGCACUGUCAAAUUCUCUGAAAUGCCUUUGGAGACGACUUAUGGUGGAGAAAUAAAUAUUCAAUCCACAGGCAACAGCUCUGGUGGACAUUCCUGAAGUCAGCAUGCCAAUCGCACGCUCCCUCAAAACUUGUGACAUCUGUGGCAUUGUGCUGUGUGAUAAAACUGCUCCUUUUAGAGUGGCCAGUCUAAGGCACACCUGUGCAAUAAUCAUGCUGUCUAAUCA